AAAUAGUAACGGAAUUGUCCGUUGCUAUUCCGUUGCUAAUAAUUAAUUCAAAUAACCGAAAAUAUUUAUUUUAAAAAUAACAACGGAAUUCACGUCCGUUGCUAUUUAGCAACGGAAUUUUCCGUUGCUAUUUCGUUGCUGCGCCCUAAAAAAAAGGUGAAUGAACCGCGCCUCCUCCUUCAUUUUUUCAACACAACUUUCACUUCUAUUUCGCAAAAUUCCCAAAUUUCCCCCCUCCGAUUCCCCAUUUCCGGCGACUCCCGCUGCGUGCUCCCCUCCGGCGACUCGUCCACGCCGCCGUUUCCACCGCGCCCCUGCUCGCCCCGCCUCGCUCCGCCCCGCGCCGCUCUGCGCCCUGCGCUGCUGCCCGCCCCGCGCCGCUCCGCGCCCUGCGCUGCUGCCCGCCCCGCGCCUCGCCGCUGGUCGCCCCGCCUCGCGCCGCUGCCGCCCUGCGCCGCUGCCCGCCCCGCGCCUCGCCGCUGGUCGCCCCGCCUCGCGCCGCUGCCGCCCUGCGCCGCUGCUCGCCCCGCCCUGCGCCGCUGCCCGUCCCACGCCGCGCUGCUGCUCGCCCCGCCCCUCCCUGGCGCCGUGUCCUCUGCUGCCAGCGCCGGAUUCCUCCGCCGCCACCGGUCCUCCUCCUCCGCGGCGACCGGUCCUCUUCCUCCGCUGCCUGCGUCCGUCGGAUUCCUCCAUAGGUCAUAACUGCGACCCCAAGGCAAAUUGAAAGUUUGAUACGCCUCAGUGAGGCUUUGGCACGGAUUCGUUUCUCAGAAUUGGUUGAGAAGUCGGAUGUAAUCGAGGCUUUUAGGCUUCUCGAGGUGGCAAUGCAACAGUCUGCAACAGACCAUUCGACGGGAACCAUUGAUAUGGACCUGAUCACGACGGGGGUAUCUGCAAGUGAAAGAAUGAGGCGGGAGAAUCUGGUGUCGGCCACGCGCAGCCUCAUUAUGGACAAGUUGACAAUAGGAGGGUCGUCAGCUCGCUUGAUGUAGUUACUUGAAGAGUUGAAGAAGCAGAAUCCCGGUGGUGCUGAGGUGCACCUUAGUGAUCUUCGAACUGCUAUGGCGACUCUUUUAGCAACAGCUAAAUUUCGUGCGUAUGUUCGAGGAGAUAUUGGCUAGGCUUCCACCUGGACCCACUGGACCCACUCCACCCACUGGACCAUCAUCUUGAUUAUGUUGUGUUUUUGUAUUUUGAAUACUUGAAUAUUUCUAUUAUAUAUUUGUGAACACUUGAAUAUUUUGUUAAGUUAUGACUAUUCGAAUGCUAAUUUAAAUUUCA
This is a long non-coding RNA of Salvia miltiorrhiza (redroot sage), 1281 nucleotides long. RefSeq lists it as uncharacterized. The record is from RefSeq and is a predicted model, not a curated record. The transcript has 6 exons. Lineage: Eukaryota; Viridiplantae; Streptophyta; Magnoliopsida; Lamiales; Lamiaceae.